GAUGAACGCUGGCGGCGUGCCUAAUACAUGCCAGUCGAGCGAACGGACGAGAAGCUUGCUUCUCUGAUGUUAGCGGCGGACGGGUGAGUAACACGUGGAUAACCUACCUAUAAGACUGGGAUAACUUCGGGAAACCGGAGCUAAUACCGGAUAAUAUUUUGAACCGCAUGGUUCAAUAGUGAAAGACGGUUUUGCUGUCACUUAUAGAUGGAUCCGCGCUGCAUUAGCUAGUUGGUAAGGUAACGGCUUACCAAGGCAACGAUGCAUAGCCGACCUGAGAGGGUGAUCGGCCACACUGGAACUGAGACACGGUCCAGACUCCUACGGGAGGCAGCAGUAGGGAAUCUUCCGCAAUGGGCGAAAGCCUGACGGAGCAACGCCGCGUGAGUGAUGAAGGUCUUCGGAUCGUAAAACUCUGUUAUUAGGGAAGAACAAAUGUGUAAGUAACUGUGCACAUCUUGACGGUACCUAAUCAGAAAGCCACGGCUAACUACGUG
This 497-nucleotide ribosomal RNA is filed under the name uncultured bacterium. RNAcentral's name for it is "partial 16S ribosomal RNA". It matches the Rfam family "Bacterial small subunit ribosomal RNA", at positions 28 to 507 of the family's 1533-position model. The record is from RNAcentral.